Molecule: long non-coding RNA, 3813 nt
Organism: Loxodonta africana (African savanna elephant)
Lineage: Eukaryota; Metazoa; Chordata; Mammalia; Proboscidea; Elephantidae
Exons: 4
Source: RefSeq, a predicted model, not a curated record
GUAAUCUUCAUGUUUGACUAUAAAUAUGCUUAUUUGCUGCUAUCAUGGCUUUCUGUGUUUAUGGUUUGAAGUGAUUUUUAUUCUUUCCUAUAUUGGACAAUGUGUUGUAAUAAUUUGUAUUUAUUAAAUAUUUCUUUUAUGUCAGCCAUUAUUCUGAGUUCUUUGCAUUUAUUAAUUCAGUCAACAACCCAGGCCCACGAGAUAGUACCUAUGCAGAGAAUACCUUCUGAGAGGAGAAAUAACCUUGCUCAAGAAUACCUAGACAGUAAGGGGCAGAGCUAGGACUCCAACCCAGGCAGCCUGACCUCAGAGCCCACCGCUUUUCCUCUCUGCCACGAAGCCACUAAAGAGACAGUUUUCUAGCAAAGACAUGUUUCUGCAACUCUGGGAACGUAUUCAUGGUUUCCUUAGACCUAUUGAGUUUUGUGUGCUUACUGGUAUAAUAGCAGAAUUCUAACAUAACUGUAAAGCAAAACUUGUAAUUACUGGUACUAAAAGCCGGUUUCACUCAAACAUCAUUGAGAUCUCUAAGUAUUUUGCAGAAUGAGUCCUAAGAAAUCUUAAUAGCCAAUAGAAAUAGCCUAAUUGUUUUAAAAUUUUGUUACUUUAAAUAAUGUUUUUAAUUUCUACAACCUCCCCCAGAUGAAGUUUAAAUUUUUAAGUGGCUGGGAAUAAACUUCUCCCUUGUAACUUCACGAUUUGUUCGAAGAGGAAAAGAGCAAAGGUUUCAGUUACGAAGUAAACAGUCUAUAAAUGUACAUCCUGUCUGAAAAAGCACAGAAGAUGAAACCAAAGGAUGUCAAGACUGAGGAGCAGAAGGUUCACGUUUCACAAAUGCCUUUGUUCUUUGAGACAUUUCUGUCUCACCAGCCUUAUAUCUUCUUUUCCCCUUUUUCAUAGCUUUUCUUCUUUUUUCAUAAAUUUUCUAUUUCUGUUUCUCCUGUGUCUCAUUUCUGAGUCCCUUUAUGGCUGUGAACAAAAUUUGGGAUUAAACAUGUAUGUUAAGUGACGAUAUUACAGAAAAAAAAAAUUAAAAUAAUAAGCUUCCUUUUCCUUUCCUUGUUUAUCUGCUUUAUUAUUUUAUAGUUUUUCUGUAAUGUCUUUACUUAACAGUUUUCUUACUAAACGGAUUAUCAAAUGCUUUAGGAGGCAUACUUAAGGCAUAAAUUAAGAGGAGGUAGUUUUUGUAUGUAGGCAGAACUGAGAAUUGAAAAGAGAGCAAAAGAAAAGUAAUGUGAAAACCCUCAGAGGUGUCUACUGAACUCGUGUCCAACUGGCAUGAAUAUUUUGACAAAAUUGUCCAGCUAAGGGACUAGAUGAUCACCAUUGUGACCAAUCUAGUCUACCAAUCCUGGUCACAGGACGCCAAAAUACUUGACAUCAACAAAAAAACAAAACCUUUUAUCUGACUGUAUCACCAGCCCAAACAACCUGGCUAUUUAGGACAACCCUACCUAAAUGUGGCUCCCUUGUGGAAAUUUGCAUUUCAAGAAACCCUCUCAUCAGUUCUGCAUACCAGCCCUAAGAAAAUAUAUGGUAAAGGUCCAUGGUAAGUAAUAAGUAGGGCAUUUCCUUCUCCUGUGGUCAAAGGCGGAAGAUGUUCAUUAUGAAAUCACAGCCGAAACAAGUACUCUUGCCUUUCCAAACAUGCAAGUGGCUCAUGGUUAGUGCUUCUUCGUGGCUGUGUCAUCAGUACAAUGCAUAGUAUUGUUAUUUUUGUCUAAAGUGCUUGAAGACCUUUGAAAGGCCGUGUUUUGUCAGCAUACUUCAACUGCCUUAACGAAUGUUCUCGAAGAUAAGAACGCACACCACAUGACGAAGCUGUUUCGGUGCUCGGCAGACAUGGCCUCAGGAGGAGAACAGACGUCAUUAUGGAGUUCCUGGAUGGUGCAGAUGCUUCAUGUACUUGGCUGCCAACCAAAAGGUUGGAGAUUCAAGUGCACCCAGUGGCACCUCUGAAGAAAGGGCUGGCAAUCUACUUUCAAGAAAUCAUCCACUGACAACCCUACUCUCGCACAUGUGGAAUCACCAUGAGUCAGAACUGGAAGCAACGGUUUUUUUCGAUGCCAUUGUGUGCUUCUAUUUUUCAGCCUUAGAAUUCCUUCUGUGAAACAGCCUUGUAUUUCUUGGAUUCAUAUUUUUAAAAGUUACUUAGAGUUAGAGUGUAAGGCACUGAAGAAGAAGCAGCAAACCAACCAAAUCCAGGUCACAGAAAUAUUUUGUUUAGCUAGUGCAGGUGUUGUUUUUGUUUUUCUAUUUUUAUUCGGAUGUUUGCUUUUCACUAAAUUUGAGUGACUUUUUAAAAAAGCAGACAGCCUCAAAUUGAUCAAAGGUAUCCUCUAUUCUCUACGUUUUUGUUUAUUUGUUUAGUCUUUCUUUUUUUGUUGUUCAUUUUAUUGUGGUAAAAUAUAUAUAAAAUAAAACGUGCCUUUUUAACCAUUUUUAGGUGUACAUUUCAGUGACAUUAAUUACAUUCACAACGUUAUAAAACCAUCACCACUAUUUCCAAAACCUUUCCAUUACCUCAUACAGAAAUAUUCUGUACCUUCUAGGCAAUAGCUCCCUAAUCUUCCCCCUCCCCGCUCCGCACCCCCACCACCAGCUCCUGGUAACCUCCUUGCCUGUUCUAGAUAUUUCAUGUAAGUGGAAUCGUACAGUAUUUGUCCUUUGACGUUUGGGUUCUUUCACUUAGCAUACUGUUCUCUAAAUUCAUCCACAUCAAAGAACUUCAUUCCUCUUCAUGACCGAAUGCUAUCAAAUUGUAUGUCUAUAUCACAUUAUAUUUAUUCAUUCAACUGUUGAUAAACAACUGGGUUAUUUUUGGCUAUUGUGAGUAAUGCUGCUCUGAACAUUGGUCUACAAGUAUCCGUUUGAGUGCCUGUUUUGACUUUUAGGGAGUAUAUACCUCUCUAUGCCCUACUUUUUUACAAGGCCCAAUUCCAUACCAAGGUAGGCAGUAGAGUUUGUAGUAGAUGGUUGCUGUUCCACUGAAUAAUAGACCUUGCUUUGCUAAGUGAAGUUUUCAUGGAGCUGAAGUGGCCAAGACAACAGAGAGUGUGAGGGAAGGAUAACAAUGACAGUUGAGGCUAGUGGCAGAGGGAGGAAAUUUGAGAAGGACAACUGGACUAUCUACAAGAGAAUGCUCUUAAGUUUCUACUGGACUCUGAACAAUAUUUUUAGUUAAAUAUCAAUUUCUCAUGAUAUUUGUAAAAUUGUAUGCAUUCUGGGGAACCAACAAAAUACUGAGUAUCUUGGCACAAGGCAAGGGCUAAGGAUAUUUUCGACCAUGUUUGGGUAACAUUAACACUAAAGGGGAAGCCCUGGCACUGGGGUUUUCUCUCUAUACAAGGUAUUGCUUGAAAGUUUCCUACCACACAACCAAGGGAGUCAACUGCAUUUAGCUGUCGAUAGGAAUUGGGCACACGACCAAGGCUUGGCCAAUUGGAUGCUUCUGCAGGGACUUGGAAAUGUAAGAGGGUGAAACACAAGGACACAGUAACAGUCAGAGAUUACUUACAGCUCAGAACCCCCCAAAAAACCCCACUGCCAUCUAGUCAAUUCCAACUCAUAGCGUCUCUAUGGGAGAGAGUAGAACUGCCACUUAGAGUUCAUCCCAGGCAAAUAUCCAGCUCAAAGCAAAAACUUUCAAACAGCCCAGGAAAUUCAGAAUAGAUCCUUUAGUUAAUCAGUUCCAACAGAGACCAAAAUAAUUCAACCAACUUUUUUCCAAAGUCAUUUAGAAGCUUUGUCAAUGAAAAGUGCUCAAAAUAAACUUUAUAAAAACAAAAUUUUCUAGGGAAGUGUGACUUUUAA